AUACCGGGCAGGGCGGUCGCUGGUGCGGUAAGCACCAGAGGAAAGUCCGAGCUGCACAGAGCGGGGUGCCUGGGGUCAACCCAGGGCAGCGGAGACCGGCGCCGCUGACAGUCCAGAUCGGCGCGCUGGAUAACCCAGCGUGAGAGCAACAGAGACGAUGACCGGGCUCGUCCCGGGGUGAAAAGGGCAAUCCUCCCUGCAGCAAUCUCCGAGCGGGCCGCUAUCAGGUUGCUCGCCGAGGCCCGAGGAUGAGAGCAGUCGCGGAGGUGACGAAGCGACCGUCCGUGCAAGACACGGGCGAGAGAGAUGACCGCCUAGAACAGAACUCGGCUUACUCGCUCGGUAUCGCU
Molecule: unclassified non-coding RNA, 350 nt
Filed under: Thermomicrobium roseum
Lineage: Bacteria; Pseudomonadati; Thermomicrobiota; Thermomicrobia; Thermomicrobiales; Thermomicrobiaceae
Description: partial RNase P RNA subunit
Source: RNAcentral